CCUCCUCCUUCUCCUCCUCCUCCUCCACCUCCACCACCACUCGUCAAGAGUCUCCUCCAAGAUUUUCCCCUGAUGAAGCUCGAAAAGGCGCCGACAUCCUUGUUGAAGCGCUGGAACGCCAAGGGGUCACAGACGUGUUUGCUUAUCCAGGCGGCGCAUCCAUGGAGAUCCACCAAGCCCUAACUCGCUCUCCUAUAAUUCGUAAUGUCCUUCCGCGCCAUGAGCAAGGUGGGGUCUUUGCGGCUGAGGGAUAUGCUCGCGCUUCUGGCAAACCUGGCGUCUGCAUCGCAACCUCGGGACCCGGCGCCACAAAUCUCGUCAGCGGCUUGGCAGACGCUCUCCUUGACAGCGUCCCCAUUGUGGCUAUCACUGGCCAAGUCCCUCGCCGCAUGAUAGGCACCGACGCAUUCCAAGAAACUCCCAUUGUUGAGGUAAGUCGGUCAAUAACCAAGCACAAUUACCUGGUCCUUGAUGUUGAUGAUAUUCCUAGAAUUGUAAGUGAAGCUUUCUUUUUGGCCACCUCGGGACGUCCUGGCCCAGUUCUAAUUGAUGUACCAAAAGAUAUACAACAACAAUUAGCGGUUCCCAAUUGGAAUACACCUAUUAAAUUGCCUGGUUACAUGUCGAGGUUGCCUAAAGUGCCCAAUGAUUCACAUUUGGAGCAGAUUGUGAGGCUAAUUUUUGAGUCAAAGAAACCUGUUUUAUACGUGGGAGGUGGGUGUUUAAAUUCAAGCGAGGAAUUGAGGAAGUUUGUUGAGUUAACUGGGAUCCCAGU
This 775-nucleotide unclassified non-coding RNA is filed under the name Hevea brasiliensis (rubber tree). Lineage: Eukaryota; Viridiplantae; Streptophyta; Magnoliopsida; Malpighiales; Euphorbiaceae. The record is from RNAcentral.